Molecule: non-coding RNA, 96 nt
Organism: Pelobates cultripes (western spadefoot toad)
Lineage: Eukaryota; Metazoa; Chordata; Amphibia; Anura; Pelobatidae
Source: the annotation of a GenBank genome assembly
UUAAUGGAUGGAAAAUGUACCAAAUAUAAUGAUUGCAGAUCCCUGGUUUUCCUAUGAUCUGCAAUCAUUAUAUUUGGUACAUUUUCCAUCCAUUAA